RNAcentral lists this ribosomal RNA (207 nucleotides) under uncultured bacterium. RNAcentral's name for it is "partial 16S ribosomal RNA". It matches the Rfam family "Bacterial small subunit ribosomal RNA", at positions 568 to 774 of the family's 1533-position model. The record is from RNAcentral.
UGCGUAGGUGGCAGGGUAAGUCUGAUGUGAAAUCUCCGGGCUUAACCCGGAAAUGGCAUUGAAUACUAUCCUGCUCGAGGUUUGGAAGGGGGACUGGAAUUCUCGGUGUAGCAGUGAAAUGCGUAGAUAUCGAGAGGAACACCAGUGGCGAAGGCGAGUCCCUGGACAACACCUGACACUGAGGCACGAAAGCUAGGGGAGCAAACA